Oreochromis aureus is the source of this 1128-nucleotide long non-coding RNA. RefSeq lists it as uncharacterized. Lineage: Eukaryota; Metazoa; Chordata; Actinopteri; Cichliformes; Cichlidae. The transcript is spliced from 3 exons. The record is from RefSeq and is a predicted model, not a curated record.
UGGCACACGAUUGCCUUAUGUUCUCUUUGGUCAUGUAAACAAAUACUGUUUCAGUUAUUUUAGUGGUUAUUUUGUACAUUGAUUUUCCAGAUUAUGCAGCUGACUCAUACAUGCAAGGACUGAGCUGACAUGGGUAUGAUUUGAUCUCAGUGAGUGCCAGCCCCCCACUCCCAUCCCACUGUGAUUUGGAAUUGGUCUCCGCUGCUCAGUCGUCUCUCCAUCCCGGCCUGGCUUUGCCUCGCUCGCCCACCCUCGCACAUGGAUGACAUUCUUCAGAGGUGUCUGCACUACAGUCAGAGGCUAAGACAAGGCCAAAGGGAGUUUAAGCCUAAUGUUUAUUUGUUCCAUUUGUGCUAUUAUGUUUUAUUGUAUUUUUUCUACAUUAACAAAUUAAUCCUCAAUAUAUGAUCUGAUAUAUGAUCAAAUCUCAUCUCGUCUGUUCUCUCCCGUUUCACAUCGUCUUCCCUCUUCCUUCCAGUUCACUUUCCCUUCUGACUCUCCACAGAUGUUAGGAGGUAGUGUUGGUGCUGUAUAGUCACCAAGCUAGCUAGACCUCCCGAGGCCACCGACACCAGCCGGACCUCACCCUCAGCCUGUUUUUCUUUCCAAUGGGGAGGCGAAUACAUUUGAGAGAGGCAGGAAGGAGAGCCUGUCAUGGCCUCUUCAGUCUGGGUCUGUGAUCGGCAUGUGUGUGUCUCUCCCAUGCCCCGGUGUCAUCUGUAUUUUUCUUUUUGGCUGCCUGACUUCAAGCUUCAAGAUUCUCAAAGUCCCUUGGUGGAUCUUCAGGAUGCUGGAGCUGCAGGCUGACAAAUUUGGUGUAAAGUUGUUGAAGAAAGGUCCUGGUGAAAAAUAAAUUGAUGCUCGGCUUUUGCAAACUCAAGUGUGUGUGUGUGUGUGUGUGUGUGUGUGUGUGUGGGAGGAUGUGUAUGCUCAAGUGAGGUCUGGCUAUGUGUGGGUGGCUCAGCUGAGGGUUGAGUGGUUGGGCGAGAUGACAGUAAUAAAUUAAUUCACUUUAGGACCUAGCGACUGGAUCAUCAAUCAUGUUUAUUAAUGAUGUGUGCAGCUGACAUACCUCAGAGUCCCAGUUCUUCCUUUGUAGCCUGGACACAUCCUAUAGAACAUCAACUA